GGRAURGAMUUCCAGGAGGUAGCGGGUGAMAUGCGGUAGAWAUCUGGAGGGAAUACCMAAGGCGAAKGCAGUCCCCUGGUCCGAUAACUGACACUGAGGUACGAAAGCGGUGGGGGAGCAAACAAGGAUUAGAUACCCUGGUAGUCCACGCCCUAAACGAUGUCGAUUAGCCAUUGGAAGGACCCCUUUUCCUUUCAGUGGACGUAGCUAACGCGUUAAAUCGACCGCCUGGGAAGUACGACCGCAAGGUUGAAACUCAAAGGGAAUUGACGGGGACCUGAACAAGCGGUGAAUGAUGUGGAUUAAUUCGAUGCUACGCGAAGAACCUUACCUACCUUUGACAUGGCCAAAGUUCUACCGAGAGGCGGAAGUACUCGUAAGAGGAUUGGCGCACAGGUGCUGCAUGGUUGUCGUCAGUUCGUGUCGUGAGAUGUUGGGUUCAGUCCCGCAACGAACGCAACCCUUAUCUUUAAUUGCUCCUAUUUUAACAGGCACUUUAAAGAAACUGCCAAUGAUAAGUUGGAGGAAGGUGGGGAUCACGUCAAGUCCGCAUGGCCUUUAUAGGUAGGGCUUCACACGUCAUACAAUGGUUAGAACAAAGAGCUGCAAAUUCGUAAGAAGGAGCCAAUCUCACAAACCUAACCUCAGUUCGAAUUGCGGUCUGCAACUCGAGCGCAUGAAGCCGGAAUCGCUAGUAAUCGUGGAUCAGAAUGCCACGGUGAAUACGUUCUUAGGUCUU
This 739-nucleotide ribosomal RNA is filed under the name Candidatus Tremblayella phenacoccinincola. Its description in RNAcentral is "bacterial SSU rRNA". It matches the Rfam family "Bacterial small subunit ribosomal RNA", at positions 658 to 1382 of the family's 1533-position model. Lineage: Bacteria; Pseudomonadati; Pseudomonadota; Betaproteobacteria. The record is from RNAcentral.